GAACGUACGCUGGCGGCACGCCUAACACAUGCAAGUCGAACGAAGUAGCAAUACUUAGUGGCAGACGGGUGAGUAACAUGUAGGUAUCUGCCCUUUGGCCUGGAAUAACACGAGGAAACUUGUGCUAAUACCGGAUAAGUCUUUACGGAGAAAGCUUUAUGCACCAUUGGAUGAGCCUGCACUUGAUUAGUUUGUUGGUGGGGUAAUGGCCUACCAAGACUGUGAUCAAUAGCUGAUUUGAGAGGAUGAUCAGCCACAUUGGGACUGAGACACGGCCCAAACUCCUACGGGAGGCAGCAGUGGGGAAUCUUGCACAAUGGAGGAAACUCUGAUGCAGCGAUGCCGCGUGAGUGAAGAAGGCCCUUGGGUUGUAAAGCUCUUUCGUCGGGGAAGAAAAUGACUGUACCCGAAUAAGAAGGUCCGGCUAACUUCGUGCCAGCAGCCGCGGUAAUACGAAGGGACCUAGCGUAGUUCGGAAUUACUGGGCUUAAAGAGUUCGUAGGUGGUUGAAAAAGUUAGUGGUGAAAUCCCAGAGCUUAACUCUGGAACUGCCAUUAAAACUUUUCAGCUAGAGUAUGAUAGAGGAAAGCAGAAUUUCUAGUGUAGAGGUGAAAUUCGUAGAUAUUAGAAAGAAUACCAAUUGCGAAGGCAGCUUUCUGGAUCAUUACUGACACUGAGGAACGAAAGCAUGGGUAGCGAAGAGGAUUAGAUACCCUCGUAGUCCAUGCCGUAAACGAUGUGUGUUAGACGUUGGAAAUUUAUUUUCAGUGUCGCAGGGAAACCGAUAAACACACCGCCUGGGGAGUACGACCGCAAGGUUAAAACUCAAAUGAAUUGACGGGGACCCGCACAAGUAGUGGAGCAUGUGGUUUAAUUCGAAGAUACGCGCAGAACCUUACCAACACUUGACAUGUUCGUCGCGACUCUAAGAGAUUAGAGUUUUCGGUUCGGCCGGACGAAACACAGGUGCUGCAUGGCUGUCGUCAGCUCGUGUCGUGAGAUGUUGGGUUAAGUCCCGCAACGAGCGCAACCCUCACUUUUAGUUGCCAUCAUUAAGUUGGGCACUCUGAAAGAACUGCCAGUGAUAAGCUGGAGGAAGGUGGGGAUGACGUCAAGUCCUCAUGGCCCUUACGUGUUGGGCUACACACGUGCUACAAUGGUAUCUACAACAGGAAGCAAGACUGCGAAGUUAAGCAAAUCCCUAAAAGAUACCUCAGUUCGGAUUGCACUCUGCAACUCGAGUGCAUGAAGCUGGAAUUACUAGUAAUCGUGGAUCAGCGUGCCACGGUGAAUGCGUUCCCGGGUCUUGUACUCACUG
This 1318-nucleotide ribosomal RNA is filed under the name uncultured Alphaproteobacteria bacterium. RNAcentral's name for it is "bacterial SSU rRNA". It matches the Rfam family "Bacterial small subunit ribosomal RNA", at positions 27 to 1392 of the family's 1533-position model. The record is from RNAcentral. Lineage: Bacteria; Pseudomonadati; Pseudomonadota; Alphaproteobacteria.